AACGAACGCUGGCGGCAGGCCUAGCACAUGCAAGUCGAGCGCCCCGCAAGGGGAGCGGCGGACGGGUGAGUAACGCGUGGGAAUAUGCCCUUUGCUACGGAAUAGUCUCGGGAAACUGGGGGUAAUACCGUAUACGCCCUUUGGGGGAAAGAUUUAUCGGCGAAGGAUUAGCCCGCGUUGGAUUAGGUAGUUGGUGGGGUAAUGGCCUACCAAGCCGACGAUCCAUAGCUGGUUUGAGAGGAUGAUCAGCCACACUGGGACUGAGACACGGCCCAGACUCCUACGGGAGGCAGCAGUGGGGAAUCUUAGACAAUGGGGGCAACCCUGAUCUAGCCAUGCCGCGUGAGUGAUGAAGGCCUUAGGGUUGUAAAGCUCUUUCAGCUGGGAAGAUAAUGACGGUACCAGCAGAAGAAGCCCCGGCUAACUCCGUG
Molecule: ribosomal RNA, 431 nt
Filed under: uncultured bacterium
Lineage: Bacteria
Description: partial 16S ribosomal RNA
Rfam family: Bacterial small subunit ribosomal RNA
Source: RNAcentral